This 1371-nucleotide long non-coding RNA is filed under the name Daphnia pulicaria. RNAcentral describes it as "uncharacterized LOC124313910, transcript variant X4". The record is from RNAcentral. Lineage: Eukaryota; Metazoa; Arthropoda; Branchiopoda; Diplostraca; Daphniidae.
UUUUGGUAGUUGUUUGGCAGUUCAUUUUCAUUGGAAUCAGCUAGCAGCCGUGACCAAGAACAAAAUUUAUUGAAUCUGCAUUUUCUGUUAAAGAAUGCAUGGAUCCAUGAAGACUGAAUUGAUUCAUUUCACAAUGUUCAUGUGCACGGAAAUUGGAAUGGAUUGUGCAGGGAGUAUCAUGCAUGACUAAUUUGAGUUGCACAAUACUGUUAAAUUGGAUACUGAUCUAUUGCAUCAUUGACUAUGAUUUCUCUGCAGGGUUGGAUGGAGAUCUGAAUUUACUUAUUAAUUGGCUCAACCAGAUGACUUGAUUGUAUCGGAUCCAGACAGCAUGCAAUUUGAGUAAUUAUUGAUGUGUCUUUUCACCCAGUCCUACUGGUACUUUCUGUUUAGUAAUUUUGAUAAGCAGUUAUUCUGUUUUUCUUUUCCAUUUGUUUUUAUUUAUUUUUUAUGUUUUUUAAUCAGAAGGAUUUAACCUGCACGAACAAGGCAUGAUAGUUAUUUUGUUAUUAAAAUCAAUUAGAUAGACCAAAAGAACUUAUUCUUGUUAUUGUUUCAGGUUAAAGACAGUGACAUCGGAAGAAGAAAGCUCCUGUUAAAGUUUUAUCCAAUUGGCAAUUGUCAUUUUUUACCGUAAGACGGCUUCGAGUUUAUCUCGUGACAUCCGGUAUCAGAUUCAGAUCGUCUGCAAUUGAACAAAACACGAGUGACGAGAGCGUUUUGUUUGUGUUUGUUUGCUGAAAAAAGCCUCCAUUAAUUGCACAUAGUUUUGUUGCAAAAACCCACAUGUGAACUGCUAAAACUAUUGUUUUCUUUUUCAGAGGCUCGUGGAGUCCUGGUAGAGAAAUUUCGCACUUCUUUAUGGAACAUCAUUUCUCGUGUGGUCUGCUUCCUUCACGUGGCAUGGUAUUCCAUGGCAUACCAAUUCAGCUAAUUCAAACAUGACACGAAAAUUUGCAUGAAACUAGCGAGUGAACUUUGUUCUCUGUCCUAGUUCUCAAGAUUGAUUGCUAGGUCUAAGCGAACAAAAAUGCGCUUUUCAAGUGUUGUGGGUAUGUUAAGACCAGUCCUUCAACUACGGCGGCUUGCUGUCAAAAGUUGAUCUUUUCUUCGAAAAUUACCAAUGAAUUCACAGUCUGAGGAAACGUGAAAGUGGUGCAGCCUACCGUCAACUAUUUUGUUCAAAUUCAUUCUAUUCUACUGAAUGUGCCAUCGAAAUUAUACAGUUAACAACCAACACUAGCUUAAACUAACCUAAAUUCUUCUCAUGUUUUAUUAGAAUUAAUCUUAAUUAUCGGCUGUUUCUUUUGGACUUGCUAGAUCACCAACCCCAGAAUGGACCAUUCUUUCAUUCCAUUUUCUAGAGAGCCU